Molecule: non-coding RNA, 70 nt
Organism: Dipodomys ordii (Ord's kangaroo rat)
Lineage: Eukaryota; Metazoa; Chordata; Mammalia; Rodentia; Heteromyidae
Source: Rfam
GGGAAUGUGGCUUAGUGGUAGAGUGCUUGCCUUGCAUGCAUGAAGCCCUGGGUUCAAUUCCUCAGCACCA